UCGGGAAUUUUGGGCAAUGGGGGAAACCCUGACCCAGCAACGCCGCGUGAAGGAUGAAGUAUUUCGGUAUGUAAACUUCGAAAGAAUAGGAAGAAUAAAUGACGGUACUAUUUAUAAGGUCCGGCUAACUACGUGCCAGCAGCCGCGGUAAUACGUAGGGACCAAGCGUUGUUCGGAUUUACUGGGCGUAAAGGGCGCGUAGGCGGCAUGACAAGUCACUUGUGAAAUCUCUGGGCUUAACCCAGAACGGCCAAGUGAUACUGUCGCGCUAGAGUGCAGAAGGGGCAAUCGGAAUUCUUGGUGUAGCGGUGAAAUGCGUAGAUAUCAAGAGGAACACCUGAGGUGAAGACGGGUUGCUGGGCUGACACUGACGCUGAGGCGCGAAAGCCAGGGGAGCAAACGGGAUUAGGAUACCCACGUAGUCCCUGAGCGGGCUGGCAAGGCGCAU
RNAcentral lists this ribosomal RNA (448 nucleotides) under uncultured bacterium. Its description in RNAcentral is "bacterial SSU rRNA". It matches the Rfam family "Bacterial small subunit ribosomal RNA", at positions 355 to 825 of the family's 1533-position model. The record is from RNAcentral.